GAUGAACGCUGGCGGCGUGCCUAAUACAUGCAAGUCGAGCGAACAGACGAGGAGCUUGCUGCUCUGACGUUAGCGGCGGACGGGUGAGUAACACGUGGAUAACCUACCUAUAAGACUGGGAGAACUUCGGGAAACCGGAGCUAAUACCGGAUAAUAUAUUGAACCGCAUGGUUCAAUAGUGAAAGACGGUUUUGCUGUCACUUCUAGAUGGAUCCGCGCCGCAUUAGCUAGUUGGUAAGGUAACGGCUUACCAAGGCAACGAUGCGUAGCCGACCUGAGAGGGUGACCGGCCACACUGGAACUGAGACACGGUCCAGACUCCUACGGGAGGCAGCAGUAGGGAAUCUUCCGCAAUGGGCGAAAGCUUGACGGAGCAACGCCGCGUGAGUGAUGAAGGUCUUCGGAGCGUAAAACUCUGUUAUUAGGGAAGAACAAAUGUGUAAGUAACUAUGCACGUCUUGACGGUACCUAAUCAGAAAGCCACGGCUAACUACGUG
This 497-nucleotide ribosomal RNA is filed under the name uncultured bacterium. RNAcentral's name for it is "partial 16S ribosomal RNA". It matches the Rfam family "Bacterial small subunit ribosomal RNA", at positions 28 to 507 of the family's 1533-position model. The record is from RNAcentral.